AUGUUCUUCCACAUCGUGCUGGAGCGGAACAUGCAGCUGCACCCGCGGCACUUCGGCCCGCACCUCCGCGACAAGCUCGUCGCCAAGCUCAUGAAGGACGUCGAGGGCACCUGCAGCGGGCGGCACGGCUUCGUGGUGGCGAUCACGGGGGUGGAGGACAUCGGCAAGGGGCUCAUCCGGGAGGGCACGGGCUUCGUCACGUUCCCCGUCAAGUACCAGUGCGUCGUCUUCCGCCCCUUCAAGGGCGAGAUCCUCGAGGCCGUCGUCACCAUGGUCAACAAGAUGGGGUUCUUCGCUGAGGCUGGGCCUGUGCAGAUCUUUGUGUCAAACCAUUUGAUUCCUGACGAUAUGGAGUUCCAAUCUGGUGAUGUGCCAAACUACACUACUUCGGAUGGAUCGGUGAAAAUUCAAAAGGAAAGUGAGGUUCGUCUGAAGAUUAUAGGCACUCGUGUUGACGCAACAGAAAUUUUUUGCAUCGGCACGAUAAAAGACGACUUUCUGGGCGUUAUCAGUGAUCCUGGUGGAGCGCUGUAA
This 534-nucleotide ribosomal RNA is filed under the name Triticum aestivum (bread wheat). RNAcentral's name for it is "partial small subunit ribosomal RNA". The record is from RNAcentral. Lineage: Eukaryota; Viridiplantae; Streptophyta; Magnoliopsida; Poales; Poaceae.